UUCAAUUUAAUGUUUAUACAGGAUUACAUGAAAUGAAUAUGACAUAAAAAAAAUCAAUCAACCCUCCUAAUGCUGUUAUCACAGUUUUAUCAUUAUCACUGCACUAUACCCACCUAUGAAAGGUACAUGUGGUUAUUGUUGUAUAUAUCUGUCAGUCUCCUCUGAUAUCAAUUCCAUGCAGAAGCAGAUACCAAAUUCCUAUUCUUCCAGCCCAACAACAUAACCCCAUCCUUCUCCACCAGUGUGUAAUUUUCUGAGUAACACCUCAGCAACCUACUUAUCACAGAGUUGACAUAGGAGCUCAAAGGAUAAUGCCGGAAGCCAGCCAUCGUAAGCCUAGACUUCCACUUGCCAAAGAGCUCAUGACGC
Molecule: unclassified non-coding RNA, 369 nt
Filed under: Hevea brasiliensis (rubber tree)
Lineage: Eukaryota; Viridiplantae; Streptophyta; Magnoliopsida; Malpighiales; Euphorbiaceae
Source: RNAcentral